Molecule: ribosomal RNA, 253 nt
Filed under: uncultured bacterium
Lineage: Bacteria
Description: partial 16S ribosomal RNA
Rfam family: Bacterial small subunit ribosomal RNA
Source: RNAcentral
UACGUAGGGGGCAAGCGUUGUCCGGAAUCAUUGGGCGUAAAGAGCGUGUAGGCGGUUCGAUAAGUCUGUUCUGAAAGUCCAAGGCUCAACCUUGGGAUGCGGAUGGAUACUGUCGAACUCGAGUCCGGAAGAGGAGUGUGGAAUUCCUGGUGUAGCGGUGAAAUGCGCAGAUAUCAGGAGGAACACCGAUGGCGAAGGCAGCACUCUGGGACGUGACUGACGCUGAGACGCGAAAGCGUGGGGAGCAAACAGG